This 253-nucleotide ribosomal RNA is filed under the name uncultured bacterium. RNAcentral describes it as "partial 16S ribosomal RNA". It matches the Rfam family "Bacterial small subunit ribosomal RNA", at positions 524 to 776 of the family's 1533-position model. The record is from RNAcentral.
UACGUAGGUGGCAAGCGUUGUCCGGAUUUACUGGGCGUAAAGAGCGCGCAGGCGGCUGGGCAAGUCCGAUGUGAAAGCUUCCGGCUUAACUGGAAAAUUGCAUCGGAAACUGCUCGGCUUGAAGGUGGGAGAGGGUAGCGGAAUUCCCGGUGUAGUGGUGAAAUGCGUAGAGAUCCGGAGGAACCCCAGAGGCGAAGGCGGCGUCCUGGCUCGCAUCUGACGCUCAGACACGACAGCAUGGGGAGCGAACGGG